RNAcentral lists this unclassified non-coding RNA (454 nucleotides) under Hevea brasiliensis (rubber tree). The record is from RNAcentral. Lineage: Eukaryota; Viridiplantae; Streptophyta; Magnoliopsida; Malpighiales; Euphorbiaceae.
CUUAUAAUGGUGGCAAGUCAAUGUUUCUGCUGUGGCAAGCCUUUGAAUCCUGGAGGUUCGAGGGCUUGGGCAGUUAUCCUCUUCAUUACUUGCUGGGUGUUUUUCUUCAUCGCUGAGGUAUGCUUGUUGGCGGGUUCGGUGAGGAAUGCCUAUCACACCAAGUACAGGACUAUUUUCAGUGACAAUCCUCCUGACUGCCAGACUUUGAGGAAGGGAGUUUUUGGGGCAGGAGCAGCUUUUACUUUCUUCACUGCUAUAGUUUCUGAGUUCUACUACAUUUGCUACUCCAAGGCCAGAGACAGCUUCCAGCCAUACGGUGGAGACACUGGUUUGGGUAUGGGAACCUACAAAUAAGCCUGUUUAAGGUGGUAUAGACAUGUAUAGAAGUGACUUCCUGGACUCUUUGCACCAAUUCCUUCCAAGAUUUGCAUUUUAUGUAUUAAAGCUUCAAUUU